UAGAUCAGAUCCCAGACUGGAUCCCAGUUAAACAAGCAAAAGCAUAACAAGCAAAAGUAAAAGCAUUAAAUUAUUAUGACAAAAGUAAAGGCAAAAGUAAAAGCAUUAAAUUUUAUAAUAUUUUAUUUAAUUUUAUUUAUCAUUAUUAUUUUUUAAUAGUUUUUUUUUUUCUUACUCCCUCCCCACCAACCACUGCCCCC
RNAcentral lists this long non-coding RNA (200 nucleotides) under Elaeis guineensis (African oil palm). RNAcentral's name for it is "long non-coding RNA (EGUI_LNC003651)". The record is from RNAcentral. Lineage: Eukaryota; Viridiplantae; Streptophyta; Magnoliopsida; Arecales; Arecaceae.